RNAcentral lists this ribosomal RNA (1416 nucleotides) under Triticum aestivum (bread wheat). RNAcentral's name for it is "partial small subunit ribosomal RNA". The record is from RNAcentral. Lineage: Eukaryota; Viridiplantae; Streptophyta; Magnoliopsida; Poales; Poaceae.
AUGGCGACGUCGACUCCGGCGUCGUGGUCAGAACUCCCGCCGGACGUGCUAGGCCUGGUCAUCAACCGACUGGUUUCCUUACCGCGCCGCGCCUCGCUGUGGUCACGACUCCGACGGCACCUGGGUUUCCGCGCUCGCUUCAGAGAAUGGCCGCGAGUCCGACGGUUUCUUGAUUUCAUCGCUGGCUUUGGCUUCAAGAAGGUGCGGCGUGACCGGCACUGGGUCUCUUUCGACCGCGCUCGCUUCCGCAUGGUGUGUCGUUCGUGGCAUCGAGCUAUGCGCCGACACAUUGCGGCUUCACGACAGGUACCCUGGAUUGUCAUGUCAGAUGGCUCGUUCUUCACACCUUCGGAUCCUGUUGGCACCUCCCCUUCCCGGCUCCCCACCUUGCCCAGCAAUACAACAUGCAUUGCCUCCUGCGACGAUUGGCUCGCCCUCGACCUCAUCGAUGACGACAAGAUGCAUAGCUACUCAUUGCACAAUCCGUUCACUGGCACCACCGUGUUGCUCCCCGAGCUGGAUGCUAUCAUCGGCAAUGUUUCCAAGAUUUUCAAGGUCCGUAAAGUGCUCCUAAGGUCAACGCCUUCUGACAUCAUCGCUGUCAUGACCAAUAAUUGGAAUCAUCCCCUUAUCUUAGUCCGACCAGGGAAGGGUGUGUGGCUGCCUGAGCCACAAAGCGUCCCCUUCAUCUACAUCGUCGACAUUGCUUUUCUUGGAGACAAACUAUAUGGAAUCACUCGGGCCGAGGAUCUAGUCUCUCUAGAUAUAAAUUUUGAUAGCGAUGGCAUACCCACAGUUACUAGUAUCGAGCGCCUCAUCAAGCACCCAUCUGGCAAUUACGAUUUUGAUGUGUGGCGCGAUGUUGACGACAACAAGAAUGAUGAGGGUGGUAAGGACGAGGCCACGAAUAAUUAUGAGGGCCACACUGAGGCGCCGCGUGAGCAAAAUCCCGAGGAGGCCGCCUUAGAAGAACUUCGGAAGAAAACAGGCGAUGACAUGAUUCUUGAAGGCGUAGUAUGUUGGGUGGACGAUGAUGUGCCAUACGAACCUAAGGAUCUCAUCACUGUCAUGUGGCACUUAGUCGAGUCAUGUGGGAAGCUGCUCAUGGUGAGACGCCAACUGCAUUGGCCUGCAUAUAGUAUCAACUUCACUAGCAAGGUGGAGGUUUAUGAGACAGGUGUCAAUGAAGGCGCACAAUGGGUGCUAGUUUCAGGUGGGCUGGGCAACCAAACGCUUUUCAUCAGCAAAUUCUUUUGCAAAUCCAUUUAUACAUGUGAAGACGGUGACCGCGAGGAUCUUCAUUUUAUCGACACGGGUGAAAAGUACAAUUUGAAAUCCCAAACUAUGAGCCCCACCUGGAGGGAUUUUAGCUACCAAGAGUCUAUGUGGAUCUUUAGUGAGGAGCUAGUGGUUUGA